CGACAUCAUUACAAAUAAAUAAACAAAAAAAAAAAAAAAAAAAUUGAGGAUUGCGAAAGGUAGCAGUGGUCUACAAACUUUUUUCGAAUUUUUCAAUCAGGUCUAUGGAUUGUUUGUUUUAUUUUUGGGUGUAAUUUGAGCCGGGGUAGUUAUCAUAUACUGUUAUUCUGAGAUACAUGUGUGGGGGCAUCAAGAGAUGUCUAGUUAGUGUGCAUAAGAAAAUAAGCUCAACUAUCAUGGAGGCUGUAGGUUAUCCUUAUUUGGUUAUAGUGAGAAAGCUUCGUAAAGAUGAGAUACCUUGGUCGACCUAGGCUGGUAACGUCUGCCUCAACCUCUAUCAAAACAUGAUACCAUAAUCUUUGUGCUCCCAACAAAUUCAGUCAUAAAAUAGGGGCUGUGUUUUGCGCCUCUAAUUUGUUCUUGCUAUCAUGUGUAUGGAUGUCUUCGCAAAGAUCAAACAUUACUAUGCUCGAUGUUAUGUGUGUUUCUCGUCAGAUAAAAGUCAUUUCACUGCGGAAGAUGGGAGAGUUCAAUCUUGACUAAAGUGGCUAUUCAAUGGGCCAUGGAUAUCUAGUUUAUGGAUGAACUUCACGUGUCUGUAACUCCCCGGAGCUCAGGACUUCCACAAUUAAUGUCACACCCUAACUCCUACAGGUAUAGGGUUAAUUAACUAGCCAUCCUUCUUCUUGAAGGACAUAACCUCAAAUGCAAACGAGUAUGGCAUAUUAUCAAAAUAUAUGUCCAUCUAUUUAUUUGA
Eucalyptus grandis is the source of this 757-nucleotide long non-coding RNA. RefSeq lists it as uncharacterized. The record is from RefSeq and is a predicted model, not a curated record. Lineage: Eukaryota; Viridiplantae; Streptophyta; Magnoliopsida; Myrtales; Myrtaceae. The transcript is spliced from 2 exons.